GUGCAGCAGUCGAGAAUCUUCGGCAAUGGGGGAAACCCUGACCGAGCGACGCCGCGUGUGGGAUGAAGGCCCUUGGGUUGUAAACCACUGUCAGAGGGGAUGAAAUGCCGGAAAGUUAUCUCUCCGGUUUGACAUAGCCUCAGAGGAAGCACGGGCUAAGUUCGUGCCAGCAGCCGCGGUAAGACGAACUGUGCAAACGUUAUUCGGAAUCACUGGGCUUGAAGAGUGCGUAGGCGGUUUCGUAAGUAGGGUGUGAAAGCCCCCGGCGUCAACCGGGAACGUUGUCGUCCUAAACCUAGCGAGGCGUGGAGGUGAGGUAGGGGUGGUGUGGAACGUUACCUACGUGGAGGCGGUGGAAAUAG
RNAcentral lists this ribosomal RNA (362 nucleotides) under uncultured organism. RNAcentral describes it as "bacterial SSU rRNA". It matches the Rfam family "Bacterial small subunit ribosomal RNA", at positions 346 to 699 of the family's 1533-position model. The record is from RNAcentral.